CAGUAGCCACGGUAAUACGUAGGGUGCGAGCGUUAAUCGGAAUUACUGGGCGUAAAGCGUACGCAGGCGGUUUGUUAAGUCAGAUGUGAAAUCCCCGAGCUUAACUCGGGAACUGCAUUUGAAACUGGCAGGCUAGAGUCUCGUAGAGGGGGGUAGAAUUCCAGGUGUAGCGGUGAAAUGCGUAGAGAUCUGGAGGAAUACCGGCGGCGAAGGCGGCCCCCUGGACGAAGACUGACGCUCAGGUACGAAAGCGUGGGGAGCAAACAGGAUUAGAUACCCGCGUAGUCCCUGUCUCUUAUAC
This 301-nucleotide ribosomal RNA is filed under the name uncultured bacterium. RNAcentral describes it as "partial 16S ribosomal RNA". It matches the Rfam family "Bacterial small subunit ribosomal RNA", at positions 509 to 807 of the family's 1533-position model. The record is from RNAcentral.